UUAUGAUUAUUUUUACGAUUUCGACGAAACAUUUGGUUGAAAUGACAGAGGUAAAAAAAAAAUUAUGUUUGUGAUAAACCAAUGGUAGUGGUAGAUUACAAGAGAGGAAACUGUGCUGUAGAUUUAUCAGAUCAAAUGAUAGCAUAUUCUACACCACAUAGAAGAACCCUCAAGUGGUAUCAGAUUUUAGAAUGGCACCCGUAAUGCACCUUACAUAAUACCAUUCACCAGAGCCGUCAAAUAUACUUAUUCGACAAAGAUUGCGACACGAAAUGCAGAAGAAAGAAGGACACACGUACCUGGCACGAAAAUUUUGCAGAGAGUGCUAUAAAAAAAAUGUUAAACAGUUAGGAUGAAAAAUUGCUAAGAAUCG
This 373-nucleotide unclassified non-coding RNA is filed under the name Bombus terrestris (buff-tailed bumblebee). RNAcentral's name for it is "misc RNA ENSBTSG00005037706.1". The record is from RNAcentral. Lineage: Eukaryota; Metazoa; Arthropoda; Insecta; Hymenoptera; Apidae.